AUCCAUCAUUUAAUAACACAAGCACACAUCCAAUUCACAUAAACAUAUACCUAUCACAUACAAACUCAACCUCAUACAAAUUCAUUACAAAGAUAAAUGAUUGAUGAGCUCAUCAAUUCCAUGAUUUCUAUUUCCUUGUUAUUUUUCCAUAUUUAUCCCGUUGAACUACUUGGAAUCUCGAUGGAUAUUCAGGGGUACACCUAAGUGUACAAAUCCGGGCCCGUCAAUUCAUAUUCAUGUGCGCACAUUUCCAUUUCAGAGAGCACACUCCCGCGAACCUCAUCCCUACAGUGGGAUUACCUGUCCAGGCUAAAUCCCCUGUAAUAUAAACUCACAGAGUAUUGUCGGGAUUACCAGUCCAGGCUAAAUCCCCUGCAACGACAAUUACUCUAAUGAGCUUGGAUCUGAAUUACCAGUCCAGGCUAAAUUCAGACCCUAAUUCGGAUUACCAGUCCGGGCUAAAUCCAUUUUCC
RNAcentral lists this long non-coding RNA (473 nucleotides) under Gossypium raimondii (Peruvian cotton). RNAcentral's name for it is "long non-coding RNA (GRAI_LNC004896)". Lineage: Eukaryota; Viridiplantae; Streptophyta; Magnoliopsida; Malvales; Malvaceae. The record is from RNAcentral.